ACUCGGUCAAAGAUCUUCCUCGGGGAACGUAUAGGGAUGCGGAACGGCUAAGAAUGCUAACCCCCGAAGUUUGCGCCCUUCGACUGGAUCAAGCGAUUCGGUUGAUGAGGGAUCGGAUCAGCCGAGUUCGAAAAUCUCUACUGUAGAAUCGAUUCAGUUGGAUGAGUCGAAUGUAUGGACUAUGCAUAGAUUUGGACCGGCCAAAGAGCCGAAUAGGCAGAAAACACAGUGACUGGUCAGCUGAAAGAGCCGAAUGCUUUUAUAUAUUAAAAUAAAGUUGGGAACUCAUAUAAAAUAGAGUGUGCCCGAAGGGCAUAUAGAGUCUAGAUUACAACAGAGUGUGCCCGUGGGGCAUACAGAUUCCAGAGAUCUAACUUAAAAACUACUACUAGAAAAUCAAUAAAUGCAGGUAAAAAAAAUUACAUGUAGAACUACUUCUAGAAAAUGAUAAAUGUAGAAAAGGAAAGUAUUGAAACGGUGGUCUUCUCGUUCAGGGGAGAGAAAGACCUCUAUUGCAGGCUUCGAAAUUAGUAUUUAUAGUGAUGUCUUCUCAGCCCACAUUAUUGGCCGGUUUUUAGUAGUGGGGGGAGUGUAGUCAUGAUCGCGGAAGUUACACCCCACUUCUCAACCGUUCCCGCCU
This 640-nucleotide long non-coding RNA is filed under the name Ananas comosus (pineapple). RNAcentral's name for it is "long non-coding RNA (ACOM_LNC003915)". The record is from RNAcentral. Lineage: Eukaryota; Viridiplantae; Streptophyta; Magnoliopsida; Poales; Bromeliaceae.